RNAcentral lists this ribosomal RNA (468 nucleotides) under uncultured bacterium. RNAcentral describes it as "partial 16S ribosomal RNA". It matches the Rfam family "Bacterial small subunit ribosomal RNA", at positions 28 to 507 of the family's 1533-position model. The record is from RNAcentral.
GACGAACGCUGGCGGCGUGCUUAACACAUGCAAGUCGAACGGAAAGGCCCUGCUUUUGUGGUGUGCUCGAGUGGCGAACGGGUGAGUAACACGUGAGUAACCUGCCCUUGACUUUGGGAUAACUUCAGGAAACUGGGGCUAAUACCGGAUAGGAUCUCCUGCUGCAUGGUGGGGGGUGGAAAGUUUCGGCGGUUGGGGAUGGACGCGCGGCUGAUCAGCUUGUUGGUGGGGUAGUGGCUUACCAAGGCUUUGACGGGUAGCCGGCCUGAGAGGGUGACCGGCCACAUUGGGACUGAGAUAGGGCCCAGACUCCUACGGGAGGCAGCAGUGGGGAAUAUUGCACAAUGGGCGGAAGCCUGAUGCAGCAACGCCGCGUGCGGGAUGACGGCCUUCGGGUUGUAAACCGCUUUCGCCUGUGACGAAGCGUGAGUGACGGUAAUGGGUAAAGAAGCACCGGCUAACUACGUG